This 424-nucleotide unclassified non-coding RNA is filed under the name Hevea brasiliensis (rubber tree). Lineage: Eukaryota; Viridiplantae; Streptophyta; Magnoliopsida; Malpighiales; Euphorbiaceae. The record is from RNAcentral.
AAAACUAUAAUAAUGGAUUCAGAACUUGCUUUUUCACAUAGAUGUUCCUUGUGAACUUAGGUACUACUGCAAAGUGCAAAGAAAACUGGCACAAAAUUGGUAGGAAAAGCAAACGGGUUGUAGGUAGUGGACUCAUUUGGAGUCCAUCAUAAUCAGUGGUUGCAGGGCAACCAUUAUACAUACAUUGAUUUUAUGAUAUAAUGUUGAUAGUAUUUUUGAGUAGCUUCACAUAAGAUGAUGUUCUGUAUGCAUUCCCUUGAAUUACUUGGGCAACAUCUCCUGUAUCGUUCCAGGUGAGGUAUUCCUUCGGAAAGCUGCCUUAAUUCUGCAUUCUUUGAAAAAUAGCACUUGUCAUAAACUCUUCACUUGUCAAUCCUUCAGGAACAUUGACCACCACAUCUUGAAGCACCAUCUCGUUGAUGCU